ACGUGGGUAACCUGCCCUUAAGUGGGGGAUAACAUUUGGAAACAGAUGCUAAUACCGCAUAGAUCCAAGAACCGCAUGGUUCUUGGCUGAAAGAUGGCGUAAGCUAUCGCUUUUGGAUGGACCCGCGGCGUAUUAGCUAGUUGGUGAGGUAAUGGCUCACCAAGGCGAUGAUACGUAGCCGAACUGAGAGGUUGAUCGGCCACAUUGGGACUGAGACACGGCCCAAACUCCUACGGGAGGCAGCAGUAGGGAAUCUUCCACAAUGGACGCAAGUCUGAUGGAGCAACGCCGCGUGAGUGAAGAAGGCUUUCGGGUCGUAAAACUCUGUUGUUGGAGAAGAAUGGUCGGCAGAGUAACUGUUGUCGGCGUGACGGUAUCCAACCAGAAAGCCACGGCUAACUACGUGCCAGCAGCCGCGGUAAUACGUAGGUGGCAAGCGUUAUCCGGAUUUAUUGGGCGUAAAGCGAGCGCAGGCGGUUUUUUAAGUCUGAUGUGAAAGCCCUCGGCUUAACCGAGGAAGCGCAUCGGAAACUGGGAAACUUGAGUGCAGAAGAGGACAGUGGAACUCCAUGUGUAGCGGUGAAAUGCGUAGAUAUAUGGAAGAACACCAGUGGCGAAGGCGGCUGUCUGGUCUGUAACUGACGCUGAGGCUCGAAAGCAUGGGUAGCGAACAGGAUUAGAUACCCUGGUAGUCCAUGCCGUAAACGAUGAAUGCUAGGUGUUGGAGGGUUUCCGCCCUUCAGUGCCGCAGCUAACGCAUUAAGCAUUCCGCCUGGGGAGUACGACCGCAAGGUUGAAACUCAAAGGAAUUGACGGGGGCCCGCACAAGCGGUGGAGCAUGUGGUUUAAUUCGAAGCAACGCGAAGAACCUUACCAGGUCUUGACAUCUUUUGAUCACCUGAGAGAUCAGGUUUCCCCUUCGGGGGCAAAAUGACAGGUGGUGCAUGGUUGUCGUCAGCUCGUGUCGUGAGAUGUUGGGUUAAGUCCCGCAACGAGCGCAACCCUUAUGACUAGUUGCCAGCAUUUAGUUGGGCACUCUAGUAAGACUGCCGGUGACAAACCGGAGGAAGGUGGGGAUGACGUCAAAUCAUCAUGCCCCUUAUGACCUGGGCUACACACGUGCUACAAUGGAUGGUACAACGAGUUGCGAGACCGCGAGGUCAAGCUAAUCUCUUAAAGCCAUUCUCAGUUCGGACUGUAGGCUGCAACUCGCCUACACGAAGUCGGAAUCGCUAGUAAUCGCGGAUCAGCACGCCGCGGUGAAUACGUUCCCGGGCCUUGUACACACCGCCCGUCACACCAUGAGAGUUUGUAACACCCGAAGCCGGUGGCGUAACCCUUUUAGGGAGCGAGCCGUCUAAGGUGGGACAAAUGAUUAGGGUGAAGUCGUAACAAGGUAGCCGUAGGAGAACCUGCGGCUG
Molecule: ribosomal RNA, 1421 nt
Filed under: Lacticaseibacillus paracasei
Lineage: Bacteria; Bacillati; Bacillota; Bacilli; Lactobacillales; Lactobacillaceae
Also listed under: 3 other names
Description: bacterial SSU rRNA
Rfam family: Bacterial small subunit ribosomal RNA
Source: RNAcentral